UACGGAGGGUGCAAGCGUUGCUCGGAAUCACUGGGCGUAAAGGGUACGCAGGCGGCCUGUUAAGUCGGGUGUGAAAGCCCGGGGCUCAACCCCGGAGUUGCAUUCGAUACUGGCAGGCUUGAGUACGGGAGAGGGAAGCGGAAUUCCUGGUGUAGAGGUGAAAUUCGUAGAUAUCAGGAGGAACAUCAGUGGCGAAGGCGGCUUCCUGGCCCGAUACUGACGCUCAUGUACGAAAGCGUGGGGAGCAAACAGGAUUAGAUACCCCCGUAGUCCCU
Molecule: ribosomal RNA, 275 nt
Filed under: uncultured prokaryote
Description: partial 16S ribosomal RNA
Rfam family: Bacterial small subunit ribosomal RNA
Source: RNAcentral